This 428-nucleotide ribosomal RNA is filed under the name uncultured bacterium. Its description in RNAcentral is "bacterial SSU rRNA". It matches the Rfam family "Bacterial small subunit ribosomal RNA", at positions 28 to 453 of the family's 1533-position model. The record is from RNAcentral.
GACGAACGCUGGCGGCGUGCCUAACACAUGCAAGUCGAGCGAUGAAGUUUCCUUCGGGAAACGGAUUAGCGGCGGACGGGUGAGUAACACGUGGGUAACCUGCCUUGUAGAGGGGGAUAGCCUUCCGAAAGGAAGAUUAAUACCGCAUAAGAUUGUAGUUUCGCAUGAAACAGCAAUUAAAGGAGCAAUCCGCUACAAGAUGGACCCGCGGCGCAUUAGCUAGUUGGUGAGGUAACGGCUCACCAAGGCGACGAUGCGUAGCCGACCUGAGAGGGUGAUCGGCCACAUUGGGACUGAGACACGGCCCAGACUCCUACGGGAGGCAGCAGUGGGGAAUAUUGCACAAKGGGGGAAACCCUGAUGCAGCAACGCCGCGUGAGUGAUGACGGUCUUCGGAUUGUAAAGCUCUGUCUUUGGGGACGAUAAKG